Molecule: unclassified non-coding RNA, 644 nt
Filed under: Hevea brasiliensis (rubber tree)
Lineage: Eukaryota; Viridiplantae; Streptophyta; Magnoliopsida; Malpighiales; Euphorbiaceae
Source: RNAcentral
GAUAAUUAUCUACUAAUACAUACAAGGGAUAAUAAAUAUACAAGAGAUAAACUUCACGAGAUAAAACUCUAUCAAUAGAUAAACUCUAUCAAGAUAUAAAACUCUAUCAAUGGAUAAACUCUAUUAUUUACAUGUAAACAAACUUGCAAGAAAACUAAAAACAGCUUUCCUUCCACCCACCAUACUCUUCUUCUUCACGGUUGCCAUUUUCCACCUUGAGGGUGAAAGUGACUCCAACUUGAAUCUCUCCAUUGUAACAUUGAUCAGAUUGAACAAUGCUAUACUUUUGAGGAUGAAGUUCAGCAGUUCCAUUCUCCACUCCUAAUUCCAACAAAUCCUUCACAUAUAUCGUAGCAUGGCCAAGCAAAUCAUCAGCAGAGAAGGUGUCCUUGUCCAUGAUUUUCCAUGAUUUUUAAAAUGAGCUUGUACUCUUCACCUUGCCCUGGAUAUUCCACCUUGAAAGCGAGUUUCUCAUUCCACACUGGAUUCCCACCUUGACCUCUGGCGACACUGCUCUCGCGCUCUUGGCUUUUGUACUUCACGAUAACAUAUGGAUCAAUCUUACCUAAGAAAUCAGUGCCUCUGAGGCCUUUUGCAUUCACCAGCUGCACUUCCAAUAGCCCAGUAGCCAUCUCCGGUUCUUG